This 301-nucleotide ribosomal RNA is filed under the name uncultured bacterium. Its description in RNAcentral is "partial 16S ribosomal RNA". It matches the Rfam family "Bacterial small subunit ribosomal RNA", at positions 509 to 807 of the family's 1533-position model. The record is from RNAcentral.
CAGCCGCCGCGGGAAUACAGAGGGUGCGAGCGUUAAUCGGAUUUACUGGGCGUAAAGCGUGCGUAGGCGGCUUUUUAAGUCGGAUGUGAAAUCCCUGAGCUUAACUUAGGAAUUGCAUUCGAUACUGGGAAGCUAGAGUAUGGGAGAGGAUGGUAGAUUUCCAGGUGUAGCGGUGAAAUGCGUAGAGAUCUGGAGGAAUACCGAUGGCGAAGGCAGCCAUCUGGCCUAAUACUGACGCUGAGGUACGAAAGCAUGGGGAGCAAACAGGAUUAGAUACCCCAGUAGUCCCUGUCUCUUAUAC